This 433-nucleotide ribosomal RNA is filed under the name uncultured bacterium. RNAcentral describes it as "partial 16S ribosomal RNA". It matches the Rfam family "Bacterial small subunit ribosomal RNA", at positions 29 to 507 of the family's 1533-position model. The record is from RNAcentral.
AACGAACGCUGGCGGCAUGCCUAACACAUGCAAGUCGAACGAGACCUUCGGGUCUAGUGGCGCACGGGUGCGUAACGCGUGGGAACCUGCCCUUAGGUUCGGAAUAACUCCCCGAAAGGGGUGCUAAUACCGGAUAAUGUCUUCGGACCAAAGAUUUAUCGCUUUUGGAUGGGCCCGCGUUGGAUUAGCUAGUUGGUAGGGUAAAAGCAUACCAAGGCGACGAUCCAUAGCUGGUCUGAGAGGAUGAUCAGCCACACUGGGACUGAGACACGGCCCAGACUCCUACGGAAGGGAGCAGUGGGGAAUAUUGGACAAUGGGCGAAAGCCUGGUCCAGCAAUGCCGCGUGAGUGAUGAAGGCCUUAGGGUUGUAAAGCUCUUUUACCCGGGAUGAUAAUGACGGUACCGGGAGAAUAAGCUCCGGCUAACUCCGUG